AGAGUUUGAUCAUGGCUCAGAUUGAACGCUGGCGGCGUGCCUAACACAUGCAAGUCGAGCGGUAACAGGUGUAGCAAUACAUGCUGACGAGCGGCGAACGGGUGAGUAAUGCUUUGGAAUCUUCCCAGUAGUGGGGAAUAACCAGUCGAAAGAUUGGCUAAUACCGCAUACGUCUGUAAAGGGAAAGCGGGGGCUCGUAAGACCUCGCGCUAUUGGAUGAGCCAAAGUCGGAUUAGCUAGUUGGUGGGGUAAUGGCCUACCAAGGCGACAAUCCGUAGCUGGUCUGAGAGGACGACCAGCCACACCGGAACUGAGACACGGUCCGGACUCCUACGGGAGGCAGCAGUGGGGAAUAUUGGACAAUGGGGGCAACCCUGAUCCAGCAAUGCCGCGUGUGUGAAGAAGGCCUUCGGGUUGUAAAGCACUUUCGGUGGGGACAAACAAGGCGGAGCUAACAUCUCCGUCCCUGAUGGUACCCAAAGAAGAAGCACCGGCUAACUCUGUGCCAGCAGCCGCGGUAAUACAGAGGGUGCAAGCGUUAAUCGGAAUUACUGGGCGUAAAGCGUGCGUAGGUGGUUUGUUAAGUCAGGUGUGAAAUCCUCGGGCUCAACCCGGGAACUGCGCUUGAUACUGGCAGACUCGAGUGUGGUAGAGGAUAGUGGAAUUCCCCGGUGUAGCGGUGAAAUGCGUAGAUAUCGGGAGGAACAUCAGUGGCGAAGGCGGCUAUCUGGACCAACACUGACACUGAGGUACGAAAGCGUGGGUAGCAAACAGGAUUAGAUACCCUGGUAG
Molecule: ribosomal RNA, 792 nt
Filed under: uncultured bacterium
Lineage: Bacteria
Description: bacterial SSU rRNA
Rfam family: Bacterial small subunit ribosomal RNA
Source: RNAcentral